Molecule: ribosomal RNA, 223 nt
Filed under: uncultured Spirochaeta sp.
Lineage: Bacteria; Pseudomonadati; Spirochaetota; Spirochaetia; Spirochaetales; Spirochaetaceae
Description: partial 16S ribosomal RNA
Rfam family: Bacterial small subunit ribosomal RNA
Source: RNAcentral
AAACCGGAGGAAGGUGGGGACGACGUCAAGUCAUCAUGGCCCUUAUGUCCUGGGCUACACACGUGCUACAAUGGCCGGUACAGAGCGCAGCGAGGCCGCGAGGCGGAGCGAAUCGCUUAAAGCCGGUCCCAGUACGGAUUGGAGUCUGCAACCCGACUCCAUGAAGUUGGAAUCGCUAGUAAUCGCGCAUCAGCAUGGCGCGGUGAAUACGUUCCCGGGCCUU